Molecule: non-coding RNA, 1007 nt
Organism: Sander lucioperca (pikeperch)
Lineage: Eukaryota; Metazoa; Chordata; Actinopteri; Perciformes; Percidae
Source: the annotation of a RefSeq genome assembly
CAUCAGUGCCUCACAAUGUCUUCUUCACCUUUGCACACAUUUGGUUUACUCUUCAUCUGGCUUUCAUGUCAGGCGAGCGCUGACGGAUUUCAACAAUCUGCUCCCCAGAUAGUGAAUGAGAGUACUGAGGUCCAGAUAAACUGCAGCCAUGAUGAUGCUAAUCGUCCAGUAAUGCUCUGGUAUCAACAAAGAGAGGACAGUCUGUCUAUGACCCUCAUUGGGUAUGGAUAUGAAAGCAGCCCAACCUAUGAGGGUCAGUUUGAAGAACAAUUCAAGCUGACAAGAGACGGCUCAGUGAGAGGAGCUCUGAUUAUACGCAAAGCAACCCAGUCACACUCGGCUGUGUAUUUCUGCGCUGCCAGUACACAUGUGAACAACUACGAUCCUGCUUACUUUGGCAGUGGCACCAGACUGACAGUGUUGGAAAAAGACCGUGAUAUCACCCCACCAACAGUGAAAGUGCUUCCACCUUCAACAAAGGAGUGUCGAAACCAGAAAGACGGACCAAGGAAGAAGACCAUCGUUUGUGUGGCCAGUGGAUUCUACCCAGACCAUGUCAGUGUUAAAUGGAAGAUCGACGGUAUCAAAGCCACCUCUGGUGUGGCGACUGAUAACGCUGCCCUGCAGGAAGGCGGGUAUUACAGAAUCACCAGCAGGCUGAAGGUCUCUGGAGAAGACUGGUUCACACUCUACAAAAACUUCACCUGUAUCGUCGAGUUCUUCGAUGGAACAGCAACAAUACCUUAUGAAGAUACAGUUCUGGGUGUUGAAGGUGAAGAAGGCGGCAUGACAAGAGAGAAUUAUUUUAAGAUCUCACAGACGGCCAAACUCUCCUACGCUCUUCUAAUCAUCAAGAGCAGUCUCUAUGGAGCCUUUGUGGCCUUUUUGGUGUGGAAGCUUCAGCGUUCAACUGGAAAACGGAACAACUGAGAGCUGAGGCCUGAACAAAUGAAAUCUAUGGGGAACAACAGUGUUGAAUCCUGUAAAUAAAACGUAAAAAAUAAAAA